AUCUUUCUAAUAUUAACGGAGUAUACGUGACUUCCAAUCACCUAGUCUUGGUUCAAAUCCAAGGAAAGAUA
Molecule: non-coding RNA, 71 nt
Organism: Seriola dumerili (greater amberjack)
Lineage: Eukaryota; Metazoa; Chordata; Actinopteri; Carangiformes; Carangidae
Source: Ensembl